GAUGAACGCUGGCGGCGUGCCUAAUACAUGCAAGUCGAGCGAACAGACGAGGAGCUUGCUCCUCUGACGUUAGCGGCGGACGGGUGAGUAACACGUGGAUAACCUACCUAUAAGACGGGGAUAACUUCGGGAAACCGGAGCUAAUACCGGAUAAUAUAUUGAACCGCAUGGUUCAAUAGUGAAAGACGGUUUUGCGGUCACGUAUAGAUGGAUCCGCGCCGCAUUAGCUAGUUGGGAAGGUAACGGCUUACCAAGGCAAGGAGGCGUAGCCGACCUGAGAGGGUGAUCGGCCACAUUAGAACGUGGACACGGUCCAGACUCCUACGGGAGGCCGCAGUAGGGAAUCGUCCGCAAUGGUCGAAAGCCUGACGGAGCAACGCCGCGUGAGUGAUGAAGGUCUUCGGAUCGUAAAACUCUGUUAUUAGGGAAGAACAAAUGUGUAAGUAACUAUGCACGUCUUGACGGUACCGAAUCAGAAAGCCACGGCUAACUACGUG
Molecule: ribosomal RNA, 497 nt
Filed under: uncultured bacterium
Lineage: Bacteria
Description: partial 16S ribosomal RNA
Rfam family: Bacterial small subunit ribosomal RNA
Source: RNAcentral